RNAcentral lists this ribosomal RNA (493 nucleotides) under uncultured bacterium. Its description in RNAcentral is "partial 16S ribosomal RNA". It matches the Rfam family "Bacterial small subunit ribosomal RNA", at positions 28 to 507 of the family's 1533-position model. The record is from RNAcentral.
GACGAACGCUGGCGGCGUGCUUAACACAUGCAAGUCGAACGGUGAAGGGACCGGUUUUUGCUGGUUCUGGAUGAGUGGCGAACGGGUGAGUAACACGUGAGUAACCUGCCCCCUUCUUCUGGAUAACCGCAUGAAAGUGUGGCUAAUACGGGAUAUUCUGCGCCUGCUGCAUGGUGGGUGUGGGAAAGAUAUUGUUUCGGUGGGGGAUGGGCUCGCGGCCUAUCAGCUUGUUGGUGGGGUGAUGGCCUACCAAGGCGGUGACGGGUAGCCGGCCUGAGAGGGUGGACGGUCACACUGGGACUGAGACACGGCCCAGACUCCUACGGGAGGCAGCAGUGGGGAAUAGUGCACAAUGGGCGCAAGCCUGAUGCAGCGACGCCGCGUGAGGGAUGGAGGCCUGCGGGUUGUAAACCUCUUUCGCCAGUGAAGCAGGCCUGUCCCUUUUGUGGGUGGGUUGACGGUAGCUGGAUAAGAAGCGCCGGCUAACUACGUG